RNAcentral lists this ribosomal RNA (498 nucleotides) under uncultured bacterium. RNAcentral's name for it is "partial 16S ribosomal RNA". It matches the Rfam family "Bacterial small subunit ribosomal RNA", at positions 30 to 523 of the family's 1533-position model. The record is from RNAcentral.
AUUGAACGCUGGCGGCAGGCCUAACACAUGCAAGUCGAGCGGUUGAGGUAGUUUGCUACCGAAGCAGCGGCGGACGGGUGAGUAAUACAUGGGAAUCUGCCUGGUAGUGGGGGACAACGUUUCGAAAGGAACGCUAAUACCGCAUACGCCCUACGGGGGAAAGGGGGGGAUCUUCGGACCUCUCGCUAUCAGAUGAGCCCAUGUCGGAUUAGCUAGUUGGUGGGGUAAAGGCCUACCAAGGCGACGAUCCGUAACUGGUCUGAGAGGAUGAUCAGGACGACUGGAACUGGGACACGGUCCAGACUCCUACGGGAGGCAGCAGUGGGGAAUAUUGGACAAUGGGCGCAAGCCUGAUCCAGCCAUGCCGCGUGUGUGAAGAAGGCCUUAGGGUUGUAAAGCACUUUCAGUGGGGAGAAAGGUGAUUCACCUAAUACGUGAGUCAAUUGAUGUUACCCACAGAAGAAGCACCGGCUAACUCCGUGCCAGCAGCCGCGGUAA